UAGAGGAAGUAAAAGUCGUAACAAGGUUUCCGUAGGUGAACCUGCGGAAGGAUCAUUAAUGAAAUGUUUGUCGAGAAGGGUUGUAGCUGGCCUCCAGGGGCAUGUGCACAUCCUGAUCGCAUCCACAUCCCACACCUGUGCACCGCCUGUAGCUUGGGAUGAUCACGGAGCCCUGAUGGGGUGACGAAUGCCCUCGUCUAUGAAUGCUUUCACACACCCUCAAAGUAUGACAGAAUGUAUAUCAUAUUGCGUCUGAUAAACGUGACAAAUACAACUUUCAACAACGGAUCUCUUGGCUCUCGCAUCGAUGAAGAACGCAGCGAAAUGCGAUAAGUAAUGUGAAUUGCAGAAUUCAGUGAAUCAUCGAAUCUUUGAACGCACCUUGCGCUCCUUGGUAUUCCGAGGAGCAUGCCUGUUUGAGUGUCAUGAAAUUCUCAACUGCCCUUGGGCUUUGUGGCCCUGCGGGGUGAAGUUGGACUUGGAGGUAUGCUGGCGCAUGAAUGGGCUUUGUGGCCCUGUCUUGCUUGUUGGCUCCUCUCGAAUGCAUGAGCUUUCCAAUCCUUGGCAAAGUAUCGUCGAUGUGAUAAUUGUCUACAUCGCCCGAGAAAGCCGAAAAGGGGAAAUCUUUGAUCACGCCAGGGUGAACCUGCGUCUGAAAAAUUCGACCUCAAAUCAGGUAGGACUACCCGCUGAACUUAAGCAUAUCAUAA
This 710-nucleotide ribosomal RNA is filed under the name uncultured fungus. RNAcentral describes it as "eukaryotic LSU rRNA". The stretch from base 273 to 426 matches the Rfam family "5.8S ribosomal RNA". The record is from RNAcentral. Lineage: Eukaryota; Fungi.